UACCGCAAGCUGCACCUGCCGCACCCCAGGCUGCUGCGGACGACUCAGUACCGCAAGAUGCACCUGCUACGCCCCAGGCUGCUGCGGACGGCUCAGUACUGCAAGAUGCACCUGCCACACUCCAGGCUUCUGCGG
RNAcentral lists this long non-coding RNA (135 nucleotides) under Dermacentor andersoni. Its description in RNAcentral is "uncharacterized LOC126545904". Lineage: Eukaryota; Metazoa; Arthropoda; Arachnida; Ixodida; Ixodidae. The record is from RNAcentral.